Molecule: long non-coding RNA, 1746 nt
Filed under: Ananas comosus (pineapple)
Lineage: Eukaryota; Viridiplantae; Streptophyta; Magnoliopsida; Poales; Bromeliaceae
Description: long non-coding RNA (ACOM_LNC035868)
Source: RNAcentral
AGGAAACCAUGCGGAGAGAGUAUCCGCAUUUAUUCGAAUCGACGAGUUAAGGUAUGUGUAAUUUCGCGGACGAAAUUAUUUUAAGGGGUGGAGAAUGUAAUAUACCGAAAAUUCAGAAAAUAAAUGUCGAACUUUAGUCAAAUUGACCAAAGUGCGAUGAUGGAACACUUCGGAAAGUCCGAAGGUGUUAAAAUGAUUAAAAGUGAGUUACGGGAGGUUUUCGAGAGCUAAAAGUUGUGAAAUCUGCAUUCUGCAGGUUUUCAGCUCUCGGGGAGCGGUCCCUGGUGGGAGAGACCAGUCCNCCCGGGGAUCCUCUAGAGUCGACCUGCAGGCAUGCAAGCUUUUGGAGCAAAGAGGCUUCAUCUCCUUCUUCUCUAGUGCAAGAAAAUGAAGCUUACAAGGUAAGCUUUGAACCCUAAUGUAGUAAAACCCUAGAAAUGGGUUUGAAUGAACCUAUAAAUGGUUUCUAAAGGAAUAUCUAGUAGUUUGAUGCUUUCUUUUUACUUCUUUAAAGAUCAAAACCAUGGUUGAGCUCAAAGUGAGCUUCAACCCACCUCUAAUGGUGAAAUCUAAUCUAGGGUUUUGGAAAGCCUAAGAAUGGUUCUAAUGGGCUAUUUAGAGUGUAGUGAAGCUACUUUUGCUUCUCUUUGAGAUCAAACCCUAGGUUUGAUGAUGCUAAGGAGCUAGGGCACCCAAAUUGGGGCUUUUGCUCAUAGGGGUUUCUAAGUGCAAUUGACCAUCUAGAAACCUAAUUGGGGGUGUUUCCGACGCGUUGGUGCGCUCGGAAUAGCAUUACGAAAAGUCUAUAGAAAGAUAUGGGCAAAAUGGCCUAAGUUGGCUUCGUUUUGCCGCAGGUAAAGAACGAAGAAUCUAAAUAUCCUGAGAAAAUCGUCGGAGCACCUAAAGAGAUCUACAAGGUGGGUGGUGCUUUCCAAACUCAUUGAAAUUCUCUCUAUGCCUAAUGUGUCAUUCUUUGAGCAUAUAUUCUAUAUAUUGUUGCAUGCAUUUUAGGGUAAAGUAAUGAUGAAAUGUGAUGAUUGCAUGAUUGUGAGCACAACUUGCAUAAUGAGAUGGUUGAGAACCUAAUAAUGUCAAAAAAUCCUAGAUGUAUGCAUGAGAGAAUAUGUGAGUACCGAAGUCAGCAAAAGAACAGAGUGACACUGUGACAUAGAUCGAGUGGCAUCUAAAUAAUGUAAAGUAAAGUGACACUAGAGUUAGUGUGAAGCAAAGAAUCGAAGUGAUAUAAAGAAUGAUGNUCUCCGAAAGUAUAUCCAAAACGCGACACAUGUAUUGGAAUACGAGCCCGUGGAGCUACAUGAAGACAUGUCUUAUGAGGAGUACCCCGUGUGCAUCCUUGAUCGAGAAGUGAGGAAGUUGCGAUGUCGCAAGAUUCCGUAUGUAAAAGUCCAAUGGAGCAACCAUGUGGUGCGAGAAGCCACUUGGGAGCUCGAGGAAACCAUGCGGAGAGAGUAUCCGCAUUUAUUCGAAUCGACGAGUUAAGGUAUGUGUAAUUUCGCGGACGAAAUUAUUUUAAGGGGUGGAGAAUGUAAUAUACCGAAAAUUCAGAAAAUAAAUGUCGAACUUUAGUCAAAUUGACCAAAGUGCGAUGAUGGAACACUUCGGAAAGUCCGAAGGUGUUAAAAUGAUUAAAAGUGAGUUACGGGAGGUUUUCGAGAGCUAAAAGUUGUGAAAUCUGCAUUCUGCAGGUUUUCAGCUCUCGGGGAGCGGUCCCUGGUGGGAGAGACC